Molecule: long non-coding RNA, 831 nt
Organism: Homo sapiens (human)
Lineage: Eukaryota; Metazoa; Chordata; Mammalia; Primates; Hominidae
Source: Ensembl
GACUUCCUCUCCAGAGAGGCAGGAUGGCAUAAUGAACGGCUAAGGGACCUGGGAGCCUGAUUACUGGGGUAUAUAGACCCAGACUGAACAGGUACUGGGAAUGAAGCACACCUAGAGGAGCCACCUCCCUGACCUCAGGAUCCUUAAUGCCCAGAGCAGGCUGGCAUGGACAUCUCCCAUUGCUGAACUCACCGGAGUGCAUCGCACAAAGCUGCCAUCAGCCAGGACCAGCUCGAGAAAUACUCAUUCACUUAGAAGAUACAGCAAAAGUGAAGAAGAAAACAAAAAUCACCCAUCCUGGCUGGUCGUGGUGACUCAUGUCUGUAAUCCCAGCACUUUGGGAGGCCAAGGUUUCGAGAAGUAAAAUUACUAGAUGGGCCAAAAAGUAUGUACAUUUCGAAGGCUAUUAAACAAGAGGGUUUCCAGGAAGCUUGUAACAAGACCCAUGUCUCUCAGUCACUUCUGUAGCCCAUUUUUUACCAGCACACUUCCUUAUCAGGAAGGGGUAAGUAGAUUCCUUUUUGCCUCUCAUUUUUGCUCACGAAUUCCCCAUUCCUGACUUCCUGUGGAAACGCAAAGGGUUCCCCUGACCUAUUAUGACCCAUCUCUCCCCUGGUGGCUGUGAGGCUUGAGGACAGCAAUGGCAGGGAGUAUCUUCUAUGACUGUGGGCAUUGGUCCUGUCCACUCUGCAAUGCCCUUGGCUAAAAUCAUCUCCCUAUGAGUCACUUGCACCAGGGGCAGUGCCCCACCUGCUCCCAGAGCCCGGAAAAGUGCUACUCUCACCUGUUUCUUGGUGUCCACUUCCAGAAUGUCCAUCAGGUUGAUCAUGA